AUUAAUACUUUAGGACUUAGCUUG
This 24-nucleotide non-coding RNA is filed under the name Arabidopsis thaliana (thale cress). Lineage: Eukaryota; Viridiplantae; Streptophyta; Magnoliopsida; Brassicales; Brassicaceae. The record is from RNAcentral.